CCUACGGGUGGCAGCAGUGGGGAAUAUUGGGCAAUGGGCGCAAGCCUGACCCAGCAACGCCGCGUGAAGGAUGAAGGCUUUCGGGUUGUAAACUUCUUUUAUCAGGGACGAAACAAAUGACGGUACCUGAUGAAUAAGCCACGGCUAACUACGUGCCAGCAGCCGCGGUAAUACGUAGGUGGCAAGCGUUAUCCGGAUUUACUGGGUGUAAAGGGCGUGUAGGCGGGACUGCAAGUCAGAUGUGAAAACUAUGGGCUCAACCCAUAGCCUGCAUUUGAAACUGUAGUUCUUGAGUGCUGGAGAGGCAAUCGGAAUUCCGUGUGUAGCGGUGAAAUGCAUAGAUAUACGGAGGAACACCAGUGGCGAAGGCGGAGUGCUGGACAGUAACUGACGCUGAGGCGCGAAAGCGUGGGGAGCAAACAGGAUUAGAUACCCGUGUAGUC
This 443-nucleotide ribosomal RNA is filed under the name uncultured bacterium. RNAcentral's name for it is "bacterial SSU rRNA". It matches the Rfam family "Bacterial small subunit ribosomal RNA", at positions 338 to 795 of the family's 1533-position model. The record is from RNAcentral.